AUACUCUGGUUUCUCUUCAAAUCGCAUAAAUCUUUCGCCUUUUACUAAAGAUUUCCGUGGAGAGGAACGAUUCUGGGUUUUAAUCAAUUUUUGAAGCCUUGUUUUUUCGACAAGGC
Molecule: small nuclear RNA, 116 nt
Organism: Ursus americanus (American black bear)
Lineage: Eukaryota; Metazoa; Chordata; Mammalia; Carnivora; Ursidae
Gene: U5
Rfam family: U5 spliceosomal RNA
About the family: U5 RNA is a component of both types of known spliceosome. The precise function of this molecule is unknown, though it is known that the 5' loop is required for splice site selection and p220 binding, and that both the 3' stem-loop and the Sm site are important for Sm protein binding and cap methylation.
Source: Ensembl